This 402-nucleotide ribosomal RNA is filed under the name uncultured bacterium. Its description in RNAcentral is "bacterial SSU rRNA". It matches the Rfam family "Bacterial small subunit ribosomal RNA", at positions 356 to 773 of the family's 1533-position model. The record is from RNAcentral.
GGGGAAUAUUGCACAAUGGGCGAAAGCCUGAUGCAGCAACGCCGCGUGAGCGAUGAAGGCCUUUGGGUCGUAAAGCUCUGUCCUUGGGGAAGAAAAAAAUGACGGUACCCUUGGAGGAAGCCCCGGCUAACUACGUGCCAGCAGCCGCGGUAAUACGUAGGGGGCAAGCGUUAUCCGGAAUUAUUGGGCGUAAAGAGUGCGUAGGUGGUUUUGUAAGCGCGGGGUGAAAGGCAAUAGCUCAACUAUUGUAAGCCCUGCGAACUGUGAGACUUGAGUGCAGGAGAGGAAAGCGGAAUUCCUAGUGUAGCGGUGAAAUGCGUAGAUAUUAGGAGGAACACCAGUGGCGAAGGCGGCUUUCUGGACUGUAACUGACACUGAGGCACGAAAGCGUGGGGAGCAAAC